RNAcentral lists this ribosomal RNA (406 nucleotides) under uncultured bacterium. RNAcentral describes it as "partial 16S ribosomal RNA". It matches the Rfam family "Bacterial small subunit ribosomal RNA", at positions 28 to 526 of the family's 1533-position model. The record is from RNAcentral.
GAUGAACGCUAGCUACAGGCUUAACACAUGCCAGUAGCGGGACCGGCGCACGGGUGAGUAACACGUAUCCAACCUGCCCUUUACUCGGGGAUAGCCUUUCGAAAGAAAGAUUAAUACCCGAUAUAAAGGAUGGGGAUGCGUUCCAUUAGGUUGUUGGUGAGGUAACGGCCCACCAAGCCUCCGACGGAUAGGGGUUCGGAGAGGAAGGUCCCGCACAGUGGAACUGAGACACGGGCCAAACUCCUACGGGAGGCAGCAGUGAGGAAUAUGGGGCAAUGGGCGUUAGCCUGAACCAGCCAAGUAGCGUGAAGGAUGAAGGCUUAUGGGUCGUAAACUUCUUUUAUAUAAGAAUAUGUAUUAUAUGAAUAAGGAUCGGCUAACGCCGUGCCAGCAGCCGCGGUAAUUC